GACGAACGCUGGCGGCGUGCUUAACACAUGCAAGUCGAACGGAAAGGCCCUGCUUUUGUGGGGUGCUCGAGUGGCGAACGGGUGAGUAACGCGUGAGUAACCUGCCCUUGACUUUGGGAUAACUUCAGGAAACUGGGGCUAAUACCGGAUAGGAGCUCCUGCUGCAUGGUGGGGGUUGGAAAGUUUCGGCGGUUGGGGAUGGACUCGCGGCUGAUCAGCUUGUUGGUGGGGUAGUGGCUUACCACGGCUUUGACGGGUAGCCGGCCUGAGAGGGUGACCGGCAACAUUGGGACUGAGAUGCGGCCCAGAAUCCUACGGGAGGCAGCAGUGGGGAAUAUUGCACAAUGGGCGGAAGCCUGAUGCAGCAACGCCGCGUGCGGGAUGACGGCCUUCGGGUUGUAAACCGCGUUCGCCUGUGACGAAGCGUGAGUGACGGUAAUGGGUAAAGAAGCACCGGCUAACUACGUG
RNAcentral lists this ribosomal RNA (468 nucleotides) under uncultured bacterium. RNAcentral's name for it is "partial 16S ribosomal RNA". It matches the Rfam family "Bacterial small subunit ribosomal RNA", at positions 28 to 507 of the family's 1533-position model. The record is from RNAcentral.